RNAcentral lists this long non-coding RNA (1128 nucleotides) under Anas platyrhynchos platyrhynchos (common mallard). RNAcentral's name for it is "lncRNA (ENSAPLG00000027798.1)". Lineage: Eukaryota; Metazoa; Chordata; Aves; Anseriformes; Anatidae. The record is from RNAcentral.
GUGUCUGGGGACCUAACAAUGAGAAUGUCUGGACAGUAAAAGUUUAGAGAUGGAAGAGGAGCUGUAUGGAUCAAGAAACACAUCUAGAGUAGGGAAGUAAACCCAAACAUACCACUCUGUUAAAGAAUAAAAUUGAUUUGCAUUUGCGCUACCUAAAUAUUUACUUUGAAAUUUUGCCCAUUUUUAUUUAGAAUUUUGAGAAAAACUAUUAAAAUAUCCCUUCCCUUCUCUUCCCUUUCCUUUCCUUCCUUUCUUCUAAAUCUGUUCCCUUCUUAAUCCUUUCUUCUCAGUCGUUUAUUUUCUGUUUCCUUCUGACAUCAAGUUUAUCUUCUAGCUAACCCAUUUAUUUUUCUGGUUUAUAAUAUAGGAACUGUGUGAAUUCUAGGAUGCUUGGCAGCAGGCACAUUUUUCUUGCAAAAUUAGAAGCAGAGUUUGAUCUUUUUAUCACACCACAUUUUCUUCACAGUAGUAGGAAAGAGGAGGAAGAUACUUUAAUCAGUGAAGACAAAAUAUCAGACAUCAUUCAUUUAAUUAAUUUGUUUUGUUUCAUCAUUGCAGUAUAAACAUUGUGCAUAUGGAAGUCAGUCUUUACACAAAAAUGAAUGCCAGGCAAUAUGCCACGAUUAAUCUCAAAUGCAUGAUUGCACUCUGUCUGAUGGUUGAUAGCCCUCAUCACCAGCCUGGACCUGUUUGGGUGCUGUGGGACUGUGCCCAGUUGGUGAGCGUGCUGGGAUCACCCUUAGCCCUGGCUUGUCCUCCCUUGUGAAUCACCAUAAAAUCAUUUGUGUGAAGUAGCUUUGCUCUUGGUGUUCCCAAAGGAGACCUCAAGCAAUGCCUGGGAACCUCAGCCUGAGCUGAAACAGAGCUUUUGGAGCUAUUGGCAGCAGGUAUGUCAGUUAAGGGCCACAAAGAGGCUGGCAAUGACAAGUAUGGUGUGUUGGGACUUUACAGUGCCCUGACAAGGCAUCCAAGGUUUGACCCUGUUCUUGUAGCACCACAAUGAAUGUGAAAUGUGCAUGUGUGAAUGGGCUAGGUCACUUGCUGAUCGGAGCAUCUGCCUGAAUAUGAACAUGGGAACUGACAAUGCAUAAUGAAAUAAAGGGUUGAUUUGACUCCUCUAGUCUUUCA